RNAcentral lists this ribosomal RNA (252 nucleotides) under uncultured bacterium. RNAcentral describes it as "partial 16S ribosomal RNA". It matches the Rfam family "Bacterial small subunit ribosomal RNA", at positions 524 to 776 of the family's 1533-position model. The record is from RNAcentral.
UACGGAGGAUGCGAGCGUUAUCCGGAUUUAUUGGGUUUAAAGGGUGCGCAGGCGGCGUGUCAAGUCAGCGGUAAAAUGUCGGGGCUCAACCCCGGCCGGCCGUUGAAACUGGCGUGCUCGAGUUGGAGAGAAGUAUGCGGAAUUCGUGGUGUAGCGGUGAAAUGCAUAGAUGUCACGAAGAACCCCGAUUGCGAAGGCAGCAUACCGGCUCCACACUGACGCUGAGGCACGAAAGCGUGGGUAUCGAACAGG